UAUCGUAACCACAAGACCAUUAAAGCGUUACAUGCUGACUUUCUCUUUGGUAUUCUACUGCUGAGUGUAAUGACAAUAAGAUGCAAAGCAAUAUUCUGAGUGGAGCAAGUGAAUGCAACAAUAAUAAAAGCUGAAAACCCUCUGGGCAAUUUGCAUAUAUUUCAGUGUGGAAUACGCCCUUUCUGAACAAGAUUAAGCUUUCAUCUGUUAAGCUUUGGAAAGAAAGAAAUAGUCCUCAACUGAAAAAAAAAAAUUGCAAACUUUUUAUGACAGGGACACAGUAUUUUAAGGAAAGCUAUCAUAUUUAUUAACCACAGUGACUCUUGGCUAAAAUAGAAAAAGAGAAAAAAGGGGCUUUUUGGUUUUCAGGAAUAAAUAUUAUAUCUAGAAAACGAUGGAAGAAAAUUAGAAAGGCAUCGUUUGAUAGAAACUGAAGAAUCCUCAUAUAUUGUUCAAUCUAGUAUCAUGCACAUAGGAAUGAGGAAAGUAACUGCAACAUAAAAAUAUUAAACUCCUAGUGCUAACAAACUCCAAGUGUUUAACAUACGACUUUCAGGGAAAUAGACUACUUAAUUCACAAGACUGAGAAAUUACUUGAUCGCUGUGUAUCGGUACUUAGAUAUAGCAGCUACAACAGGGAGCUUUUCUACCUCAGUAACAAACGAGUAACAAGAUCCAGUGACUGGCAGCUGAAGUAGAAUGAAUUCCAUCUCUGUAUGAUAUGAGAUUCAAUUUCCAAGCUUUGUGGAUAUAAUUUCACCAGAAGAGAUGAAGUUUUCACCGUUGCUUAGAGGCUUUAAAAUGCAUAUUUUAAAAAUGCUUUAAAGGCCCCUCUGAAUUAAAUCCUCUGCUCGUAUGUGCAAAGUAUAGGGGUUUACAGUCGGGGUGGAUAGACAGGGUGGUGUCUUUCAGCCUCAGUCUCUGUGAACUGAUUACUGCUUCUUUCAUUUUCUUCCUUAGGGAGCCAUGGAGGCUGAUUCAAAGGGAGUGGCAGAAUUUGUGGCAGCUCUUCAGGGGUCAUGACUUGGGUUGGGACUCACUCAGGUGAAUAUGGGGGUUUAACGGCUUUGCAUGGUACAAGCAGCCUGGAGCAUUCACUCAUACCGUCUGACUGAUCGCACUUGUAAGUCAUGAACAACAUGACUUGAACUAAAUGGAAUGGCACUGCUGUAAAAAGACUGUAACAUCAGAAUGAGAUCUUCCAGCAAACUUCCCUUGAAAGCUGUAAUUUCUUUACUCUUGUCAAAAAUAGCCUUGUGUAAAAGAGGAAAGUAAUAUUUAGAUCAGUCCUGCUACUUUGAUUUUUAGGAGAAUGACAUAUGUCUGGACUUCAAUAAAUCUUCCUCACCCA
RNAcentral lists this long non-coding RNA (1351 nucleotides) under Struthio camelus australis. RNAcentral's name for it is "lncRNA (ENSSCUG00000015033.1)". The record is from RNAcentral. Lineage: Eukaryota; Metazoa; Chordata; Aves; Struthioniformes; Struthionidae.